RNAcentral lists this ribosomal RNA (593 nucleotides) under Acetobacter orientalis. RNAcentral's name for it is "bacterial SSU rRNA". It matches the Rfam family "Bacterial small subunit ribosomal RNA", at positions 164 to 789 of the family's 1533-position model. The record is from RNAcentral. Lineage: Bacteria; Pseudomonadati; Pseudomonadota; Alphaproteobacteria; Acetobacterales; Acetobacteraceae.
UAAUACCGCAUGAUACCUGAGGGUCAAAGGCGCAAGUCGCCUGUGGAGGAGCCUGCGUUUGAUUAGCUUGUUGGUGGGGUAAUGGCCUACCAAGGCGAUGAUCAAUAGCUGGUCUGAGAGGAUGAUCAGCCACACUGGGACUGAGACACGGCCCAGACUCCUACGGGAGGCAGCAGUGGGGAAUAUUGGACAAUGGGGGCAACCCUGAUCCAGCAAUGCCGCGUGUGUGAAGAAGGUUUUCGGAUUGUAAAGCACUUUCGACGGGGACGAUGAUGACGGUACCCGUAGAAGAAGCCCCGGCUAACUUCGUGCCAGCAGCCGCGGUAAUACGAAGGGGGCUAGCGUUGCUCGGAAUGACUGGGCGUAAAGGGCGUGUAGGCGGUUUGUACAGUCAGAUGUGAAAUCCCCGGGCUUAACCUGGGAGCUGCAUUUGAUACGUGCAGACUAGAGUGUGAGAGAGGGUUGUGGAAUUCCCAGUGUAGAGGUGAAAUUCGUAGAUAUUGGGAAGAACACCGGUGGCGAAGGCGGCAACCUGGCUCAUAACUGACGCUGAGGCGCGAAAGCGUGGGGAGCAAACAGGAUUAGAUACCCUG